RNAcentral lists this ribosomal RNA (501 nucleotides) under uncultured bacterium. RNAcentral's name for it is "partial 16S ribosomal RNA". It matches the Rfam family "Bacterial small subunit ribosomal RNA", at positions 29 to 523 of the family's 1533-position model. The record is from RNAcentral.
AUUGAACGCUGGCGGCAUGCCUUACACAUGCAAGUCGAACGGCAGCACGGGUGCUUGCACCUGGUGGCGAGUGGCGAACGGGUGAGUAAUACAUCGGAACGUACCUUAUCGUGGGGGAUAACGCAGCGAAAGCUGUGCUAAUACCGCAUACGCCCUGAAGGGGAAAGCGGGGGAUCGAAAGACCUCGCGCGAUUAGAGCGGCCGAUGCCUGAUUAGCUUGUUGGUGGGGUAAAAGCCCACCAAGGCGACGAUCAGUAGCUGGUCUGAGAGGACGUGCCGCCGCCCUGGGACUGAGACACGGCCCAGACUCCUACGGGAGGCAGCAGUGGGGAAUUUUGGACAAUGGGGGCAACCCUGAGCCAGCAAUGCCGCGUGAGUGAAGAAGGCCUUCGGGUUGUAAAGCUCUUUUGUCAGGGAAGAAACACCGGCUCGAACACAGUCCGGGAAUGACGGUACCUGAAGAAUAAGCACCGGCUAACUACGUGCCAGCCGCCGCUGUAA